RNAcentral lists this transfer RNA (77 nucleotides) under Candidatus Cloacimonadota bacterium. RNAcentral's name for it is "tRNA-Thr". It matches the Rfam family "tRNA". From Rfam's summary of the family: Transfer RNA (tRNA) molecules are approximately 80 nucleotides in length. Their secondary structure includes four short double-helical elements and three loops (D, anti-codon, and T loops). The record is from RNAcentral. Lineage: Bacteria; Pseudomonadati; Candidatus Cloacimonadota.
GCCAGUGUAGCUCAGUUAGCCAGAGCACCGCAUUCGUAAUGCGACGGUCAUCGGUUCGAAUCCGAUCCCUGGCUCCA